Molecule: long non-coding RNA, 1224 nt
Organism: Leopardus geoffroyi (Geoffroy's cat)
Lineage: Eukaryota; Metazoa; Chordata; Mammalia; Carnivora; Felidae
Exons: 3
Source: RefSeq, a predicted model, not a curated record
CCUACUGUUAAUGGAGCACGGGCUGGUCUCUUUCAAGGUUGUUGGGUGCAAGUGAAUUUGAUUUAUUUCCAGGAGAACCUCUUAUUGACAAACCCAUCCCUCUGUCCUAGGCAAGCACAGCCUAAAGAAAAAAAUGCAGCCAAGGGAACAUAGCUGUUCUGGACCAUGCAGGCCGCUAGGAAGGAGUGGGGAAGCUUUUCUUUUAAGAGACCCUUAAAUGGUGUUGCAAAGUGAUGUUCAACAUAGGCUCUUGGCAAAAGAGAACAGGAUUUAAAAGCACAGACCGGAAGUGUGGACAGCACCCAAACCAACACGUGUCAUCACAUACCUCUGGAUGUCCCUCACUUUGACAGUAAAGUGGCACUCAGCGUACAGGAUGGCUCGAAAACAGCCUUAGCUGACCGUGCACAAGUCAGAGCUCCACGAUUAUGGGCUAAGUAUGCAGCUAAGUAUAAUGACCUCACAAGCCACGAUGUGCCCUUACCUGCCGCUGCCAAUGGACGGGAACGCGAUGGACUUGAGCUUCUUAUCGUCUGCCAGGGCCAGACAGUUCUUCACCGUCUUUUCCAGAAGUUCCUCACACUUGUCUGCACCCCAGACCGGACUGUUACAGUGGAUCACAAACUUGGCAGGCAGGCCGUGACCUGCGCUGACAGCAGCUGGAGGAGACAAGACAGGAACAGUGAGUUCUGUCCCUCACAUGCCCAACACAGUGCCCUCCAGCUGCAGCGUGCCCCCAGGCUCCCCUGUGGCCUGCAUCCAGGGAGGGCUGCAGCUGCCUGCCAUCUUGUGCUUCUGAUGUCCCCCUAGAAACUGCUCACCAGCGAGUCUUCUCGGGAAACACCAGGUCAAGAGCCACCCUUGGAAAGCUGGCAUUGAGAUGCACCGCCACUAAGAAUUUUAGCCAAGAUUACAGCCAGCCCUCUCUGUACAAUCCUCCCAGAGGCGGACCCUGAACCACCUAACUUGACUGCCUGUGUCAGAAUGUUUGCAGCCUCAAAUUCGCCUCUGGGGAUCUCUAAGCCCCCUUCCUCCUGUGAACUCCUGUACACAUAAUUAUGAUGUGUCUAUAAAUCUCCCUGACAGAGUUCAGGAUAAACCUAUUAGGAAAGCAACUCCAUUUAAUGAGCCACUAAGCAACAUGACUGGCAGCUCUGGUGCCCUCUUCUCCUCCUGAACUGAUCUUCGUUUUUGACAGAAUUAAAUUGUUCUUUCACGCUGGAA